This 687-nucleotide ribosomal RNA is filed under the name uncultured Bacilli bacterium. Its description in RNAcentral is "bacterial SSU rRNA". It matches the Rfam family "Bacterial small subunit ribosomal RNA", at positions 51 to 721 of the family's 1533-position model. Lineage: Bacteria; Bacillati; Bacillota; Bacilli. The record is from RNAcentral.
AUACAUGCAAGUAGAACGCUGACUACUUUAACUUGCUAGAGUAGAAGGAGUUGCGAACGGGUGAGUAACGCGUAGGUAACCUGCCUACUAGCGGGGGAUAACUAUUGGAAACGAUAGCUAAUACCGCAUAACAGUGUUUAACACAUGUUAGAUGCUUGAAAGAUGCAAUUGCAUCACUAGUAGAUGGACCUGCGUUGUAUUAGCUAGUUGGUGGGGUAACGGCCCACCAAGGCGACGAUACAUAGCCGACCUGAGAGGGUGAUCGGCCACACUGGGACUGAGACACGGCCCAGACUCCUACGGGAGGCAGCAGUAGGGAAUCUUCGGCAAUGGGGGCAACCCUGACCGAGCAACGCCGCGUGAGUGAAGAAGGUUUUCGGAUCGUAAAGCUCUGUUGUAAGAGAAGAACGUGUGUGAGAGUGGAAAGUUCACACAGUGACGGUAACUUACCAGAAAGGGACGGCUAACUACGUGCCAGCAGCCGCGGUAAUACGUAGGUCCCGAGCGUUGUCCGGAUUUAUUGGGCGUAAAGCGAGCGCAGGCGGUUUAAUAAGUCUGAAGUUAAAGGCAGUGGCUUAACCAUUGUUCGCUUUGGAAACUGUUAAACUUGAGUGCAGAAGGGGAGAGUGGAAUUCCAUGCGUAGCGGUGAAAUGCGUAGAUAUAUGGAGGAACACCGGUGGCGAAAG